RNAcentral lists this long non-coding RNA (618 nucleotides) under Glycine max (soybean). RNAcentral describes it as "long non-coding RNA (GMAX_LNC003148)". The record is from RNAcentral. Lineage: Eukaryota; Viridiplantae; Streptophyta; Magnoliopsida; Fabales; Fabaceae.
GGACCUAAUAAUAUCUGUUAGGGGAGAGUCAGUUAGAGGAGGGAGAGAAUGAGUGUUAUGAGGUGUGAAGAGUUUCUAUUUUAUUAGGAUUGGGAAAUCAUUUAUAGAGGACAUGUCAGAAUUAGAAAUUGAAAUUGGAGUCAAGAAAGCCUUUCUCUGAUUAGGGGGAGCAUUGCUCUCAUUCCUUUGCCUAUUCUUCCUCUUUCUAUGUUAUUCCUUUGUUUUCUGCACGAACCUAUGAUACAAAUUGUAUCAUUGGUGCUUUUGUUGAGAGUUUCUAAUUCGUAUGUAUGCAAACCUGCAUGACAUCCCAAAACCUUGAUAAUGUUGAAUCCAAAAUUACUUCCAUCGAAACCCUCCUCCAUUCCCACGAUAUUCGAUAAGGUGGCUCACGAAGGCAGAAACCUAUUUCUUAGUCCGCAACACCCCACCAGAGUUGUAAAUCCAGCUUGCUCAUAUCUCCAUGAACGAGAUGACAUGGCAUUGGUUCAAGGUUUUGAGUGACUCUGAUCCUCACUUGACUUAGGCCACUUUCAAACGUGCACUGUUAGAACAUUACGACUACAAUCAAUUGGGCAAUCCGUUCUCUUUACCCAAGCUGCUUCACCAAAGAACCAC